GGCAGGGUAGCUUAGUGGUUAGAGCGUUGGACUAGUGAUCUUAAGGUUGCAAGUUCGAAUCCCCGAGCUG
This is a non-coding RNA of Salmo salar (Atlantic salmon), 70 nucleotides long. The record is from Rfam. NCBI's taxonomy places the organism in Eukaryota, Metazoa, Chordata, Actinopteri, Salmoniformes, Salmonidae.